RNAcentral lists this small nuclear RNA (140 nucleotides) under Oryzias javanicus (javanese ricefish). RNAcentral's name for it is "U4 spliceosomal RNA (ENSOJAG00000010641.1)". It matches the Rfam family "U4 spliceosomal RNA". Rfam says of the family: U4 small nuclear RNA (U4 snRNA) is a component of the major U2-dependent spliceosome. The structure of U4 snRNA from yeast and human has been reported. Lineage: Eukaryota; Metazoa; Chordata; Actinopteri; Beloniformes; Adrianichthyidae. The record is from Rfam by way of RNAcentral.
AUCUUUGCGCAGUGGCAGUAUCAUAACCAAUGAGGUUUAUCCGAGGCAUGAUUAUUGCUAAUUGAAAACUUUACCCAAUACCCCGCCUUGACGAUUUGAAAUACAAUCGGCAAUGGCAUUUUUGACAGUCUCUCUGGAGA